ACAAACAAAUGAUGACGAUGACGAGAAAGAAGUCGAUGAAGAGGAGAUGGUUGAUAUUGAUACUGAAGAU
Molecule: small nucleolar RNA, 70 nt
Filed under: Drosophila sechellia
Lineage: Eukaryota; Metazoa; Arthropoda; Insecta; Diptera; Drosophilidae
Description: snoRNA:GM27650
Source: RNAcentral